UGCUGGCCGUCGACUUCAUCUGUGAGGCAACUUAUCUGGAUUGGCUCGCGAAUGUCAUGAUGGUCAAGAAGGCAAAUGGUAAAUGACGAAUCUACAUCAACCACACUGACUUGAACAAAGCUUGUCCCAAAGACAGCUUCCCACUUCUAUAGAUUAAUCAGCUAGUCGAUGCGACAUUCGACCAUCAACUACUCACUUCAUCGAUGCUUUCUCCGGCUUCAACCA
This 225-nucleotide long non-coding RNA is filed under the name Elaeis guineensis (African oil palm). Its description in RNAcentral is "long non-coding RNA (EGUI_LNC016607)". Lineage: Eukaryota; Viridiplantae; Streptophyta; Magnoliopsida; Arecales; Arecaceae. The record is from RNAcentral.